This 253-nucleotide ribosomal RNA is filed under the name uncultured bacterium. RNAcentral's name for it is "partial 16S ribosomal RNA". It matches the Rfam family "Bacterial small subunit ribosomal RNA", at positions 524 to 776 of the family's 1533-position model. The record is from RNAcentral.
UACGUAGGGUGCAAGCGUUGUCCGGAAUUAUUGGGCGUAAAGGGCUCGUAGGCGGUUUGUCGCGUCUGCUGUGAAAACCCGAGGCUCAACCUCGGGCCUGCAGUGGGUACGGGCAGACUAGAGUGUGGUAGGGGAGAUUGGAAUUCCUGGUGUAGCGGUGGAAUGCGCAGAUAUCAGGAGGAACACCAAUGGCGAAGGCAGAUCUCUGGGCCGUAACUGACGCUGAGGAGCGAAAGCAUGGGGAGCGAACAGG